GACGAACGCUGGCGGCGUGCCUAAUACAUGCAAGUCGAACGGUUUAGUUCCAAGAGGCUUGCCUUUUGGAACUAGACAGUGGCGGACGGGUGAGUAACACGUAGGCAACCUACCUGUCAAACCGGGAUAACCUCGGGAAACCGAAGCUAAACCCGGAUAAGCUCCUUUUUCGCAUGAAGGGGGAGUGAAAAGGUGCGACCUGAUGACAGAUGGGCCUGCGGCGCAUUAGCUAGUAGGUAGGGUAACGGCCUACCUAGGCGAUGAUGCGUAGCCGACCUGAGAGGGCGUACGGCCACACUGGGACUGAGAUACGGCCCAGACUCCUACGGGAGGCAGCAGUAGGGAAUCUUCGGCAAUGGGCGUAAGCCUGACCGAGCAACGCCGCGUGAGUGAGGAAGGCCUUCGGGUUGUAAAACUCUGUUGUUUGGGAAGAAGGGAAAGGGUAGGACCCUUAGGUGACGGUACCAAGCGAGAAAGCCCCGGCUAACUACGUG
This 494-nucleotide ribosomal RNA is filed under the name uncultured bacterium. RNAcentral describes it as "partial 16S ribosomal RNA". It matches the Rfam family "Bacterial small subunit ribosomal RNA", at positions 28 to 507 of the family's 1533-position model. The record is from RNAcentral.